CCUGACCCUAAUGCUAAAGACCCCACCUACACAGCUCUCCAGCGCAGAACCAGGUCCUCUGAUGAUGAGUACCAGACUCUCGCAGCUGCUCAGGCCAGGUCUACUGACGACACCUAUGAAGCUCUGGACCCUCAGUCCAGGUCUCCAGAGUACGAGACUCUAGCAACGCUGAGAAUCCAACACUGAGAAGAAGAUCAGCCUGGAGAAUGAUCUCACCUGCUGAAGAGAGGCAGAUUUAUUCUAUUAUACAUUACUGUUUAUUCUAACUCUCUUUUCUUCUGCUCUUCUUUCUCUUCUUUUGUUUUUGGAUCGUAAGGAAAUAGAGGCACUCUCUCUCUUUCAAUUAAACAUAUCUACUAGUGGAUUAAGACUAUUUCUGUAAAAAUAACAGCUUUGUUUAGGGCGUGUCAACGUGUCUUUGCUACCGUAACGA
Long non-coding RNA from Astyanax mexicanus (Mexican tetra), 433 nucleotides. RefSeq lists it as uncharacterized. The record is from RefSeq and is a predicted model, not a curated record. The transcript has 3 exons. Lineage: Eukaryota; Metazoa; Chordata; Actinopteri; Characiformes; Acestrorhamphidae.